This 468-nucleotide ribosomal RNA is filed under the name uncultured bacterium. RNAcentral's name for it is "partial 16S ribosomal RNA". It matches the Rfam family "Bacterial small subunit ribosomal RNA", at positions 28 to 507 of the family's 1533-position model. The record is from RNAcentral.
GACGAACGCUGGCGGCGUGCUUAACACAUGCGAGUCGAACGGAAAGGCCCUGCUUUUGUGUGGUGCUCGAGUGGCGAACGGGUGAGUAACACGUGAGUAACCUGCCCUUGACUUUGGGAUAACUUCAGGAAACUGGGGCUAAUACCGGAUAGGAGCUCCUGCUGCAUGGUGGGGGUUGGAAAGUUUCGGCGGUUGGGGAUGGACUCGCGGCUUAUCAGCUUGUUGGUGGGGUAGUGGCUUACCAAGGCUUUGACGGGUAGCCGGCCUGAGAGGGUGACCGGCCACAUUGGGACUGAGAUACGGCCCAGACUCCUACGGGAGGCAGCAGUGGGGAAUAUUGCACAAUGGGCGGAAGCCUGAUGCAGCAACGCCGCGUGCGGGAUGACGGCCUUCGGGUUGUAAACCGCUUUCGCCUGUGACGAAGCGUGAGUGACGGUAAUGGGUAAAGAAGCACCGGCUAACUACGUG